GUCGUCUCGCUGGGGUGCUCCGGGUUACCGGAGCUGAGAAAUUACCCAUUGAACCUGAACCAGGUCAUGCUGGCGGAGGAAGUUCGAGAUGGCAAGUG
RNAcentral lists this non-coding RNA (98 nucleotides) under Devosia limi. RNAcentral describes it as "TPP sequence". It matches the Rfam family "TPP riboswitch aptamer (THI element)". From Rfam's summary of the family: Vitamin B(1) in its active form thiamin pyrophosphate (TPP) is an essential coenzyme that is synthesised by coupling of pyrimidine and thiazole moieties in bacteria. The previously detected thiamin-regulatory element, thi box was extended, resulting in a new, highly conserved RNA secondary structure, the THI element, which is widely distributed in eubacteria and also occurs in some archaea. RNAcentral also lists the same sequence under 1 other name. The record is from RNAcentral. Lineage: Bacteria; Pseudomonadati; Pseudomonadota; Alphaproteobacteria; Hyphomicrobiales; Devosiaceae.